This 526-nucleotide ribosomal RNA is filed under the name uncultured bacterium. Its description in RNAcentral is "bacterial SSU rRNA". It matches the Rfam family "Bacterial small subunit ribosomal RNA", at positions 355 to 896 of the family's 1533-position model. The record is from RNAcentral.
UAGGGAAUAUUGCACAAUGGGCGAAAGCCUGAUGCAGCAACGCCGCGUGUGCGAUGAAGGCCUUCGGGUCGUAAAGCACUUUUCUGGGAGAUGAGAAAGGACAGUAUCCCAGGAAUAAGUCUCGGCUAACUACGUGCCAGCAGCCGCGGUAAAACGUAGGAGGCAAGCGUUAUCCGGAUUCACUGGGCGUAAAGCGCGUGCAGGCGGUUUGGUAAGUUGGGCGUGAAAUCUCCCGGCUCAACUGGGAGGGGUCGUUCAAAACUACCAGACUCGAGAGCGAUAGAGGAAAAUGGAAUUCCCGGUGUAGUGGUGAAAUGCGUAGAUAUCGGGAGGAACACCAGUGGCGAAAGCGAUUUUCUGGAUCGUUUCUGACGCUCAGACGCGAAAGCUAGGGUAGCAAACGGGAUUAGAGACCCCGGUAGUCCUAGCUGUAAACGAUGUGAACUUGGCGUUGGUGGCUUAAACUCCAUCAGUGCCGAAGCUAACGCGAUAAGUUCACCGCCUGGGGACUACGGCCGCAAGGUUA